RNAcentral lists this ribosomal RNA (119 nucleotides) under Larimichthys crocea (large yellow croaker). The record is from RNAcentral. Lineage: Eukaryota; Metazoa; Chordata; Actinopteri; Sciaenidae.
GCUUACGGCCAUAUCACCCUGAAUGUGCCCGAUCUCUUCUGAUCUCGGAAGCUAAACAGGGUCAGGCCUGGUUAGUACUUGGAUGGGAGACCGCCUUGGAAUACCAGGUGCUGUAAGCU